This 467-nucleotide ribosomal RNA is filed under the name uncultured bacterium. RNAcentral describes it as "partial 16S ribosomal RNA". It matches the Rfam family "Bacterial small subunit ribosomal RNA", at positions 29 to 507 of the family's 1533-position model. The record is from RNAcentral.
ACGAACGCUGUCGGCGUGCUUAACACAUGCAAGUCGCACGGAAAGGCCCUGCUUUUGUGGGGUGCUCGAGUGGCGAACGGGUGAGUAACACGUGAGUAACCUGCCCUUGACUUUGGGAUAACUUCAGGAAACUGGGGCUAAUACCGGAUAGGAGCUCCUGCUGCAUGGUGGGGGUUGGAAAGUUUCGGCGGUUGGGGAUGGACUCGCGGCUUAUCAGCUUGUUGGUGGGGUAGUGGCUUACCAAGGCGUUGACGGGUAGCCGGCCUGAGAGGGUGACCGGCCACAUUGGGACUGAGAUACGGCCCAGACUCCUACGGGAGGCAGCAGUGGGGAAUAUUGCACAAUGGGCGGAAGCCUGAUGCAGCAACGCCGCGUGCGGGAUGACGGCCUUCGGGUUGUAAACCGCUUUCGCCUGUGACGAAGCGUGAGUGACGGUAAUGGGUAAAGAAGCACCGGCUAACUACGUG